This 497-nucleotide ribosomal RNA is filed under the name uncultured bacterium. RNAcentral describes it as "partial 16S ribosomal RNA". It matches the Rfam family "Bacterial small subunit ribosomal RNA", at positions 28 to 507 of the family's 1533-position model. The record is from RNAcentral.
GAUGAACGCUGGCGGCGUGCCUAAUACAUGCAAGUCGAGCGAACAGACGAGGAGCUUGCUCCUCUGACGUUAGCGGCGGACGGGUGAGUAACACGUGGAUAACCUACCUAUAAGACUGGGAUAACUUCGGGAAACCGGAGCUAAUACCGGAUAAUAUAUUGAACCGCAUGGUUCUAUAGUGAAAGACGGUUUUGCUGUCACUUAUAGAUGGAUCCGCGCCGCAUUAGCUAGUUGGUAAGGUAACGGCUUACCAAGGCGACGAUGCAUAGCCGACCUGAGAGGGUGAUCGGCCACACUGGAACUGAGACACGGUCCAGACUCCUACGGGAGGCAGCAGUAGGGAAUCUUCCGCAAUGGGCGAAAGCCUGACGGAGCAACGCCGCGUGAGUGAUGAAGGUCUUCGGAUCGUAAAACUCUGUUAUUAGGGAAGAACAAAUGUGUAAGUAACUAUGCACGUCUUGACGGUACCUAAUCAGAAAGCCACGGCUAACUACGUG